RNAcentral lists this ribosomal RNA (253 nucleotides) under uncultured bacterium. RNAcentral's name for it is "partial 16S ribosomal RNA". It matches the Rfam family "Bacterial small subunit ribosomal RNA", at positions 524 to 776 of the family's 1533-position model. The record is from RNAcentral.
UACGGAGGGUGCAAACGUUGCUCGGAAUCAUUGGGCGUAAAGCGCACGUAGGCGGUCCGGUAAGUCGGGUGUGAAAGCCCUCGGCUCAACUGAGGAAGUGCAUUCGAAACUACCGGACUUGAGUAUGGAAGAGGGUCGCGGAAUUCCCGGUGUAGAGGUGAAAUUCGUAGAUAUCGGGAGGAACACCAGUGGCGAAGGCGGCGACCUGGGCCAAUACUGACGCUGAGGUGCGAAAGCGUGGGGAGCAAACAGG